GACGAACGCUGGCGGCGUGCCUAAUACAUGCAAGUAGAACGCUGAAGAGAGGAGCUUGCUCUUCUUGGAUGAGUUGCGAACGGGUGAGUAACGCGUAGGUAACCUGCCUUGUAGCGGGGGAUAACUAUUGGAAACGAUAGCUAAUACCGCAUAACAAUGGAUGACACAUGUCAUUUAUUUGAAAGGGGCAAUUGCUCCACUACAAGAUGGACCUGCGUUGUAUUAGCUAGUAGGUGAGGUAAUGGCUCACCUAGGCGACGAUACAUAGCCGACCUGAGAGGGUGAUCGGCCACACUGGGACUGAGACACGGCCCAGACUCCUACGGGAGGCAGCAGUAGGGAAUCUUCGGCAAUGGGGGCAACCCUGACCGAGCAACGCCGCGUGAGUGAAGAAGGUUUUCGGAUCGGAAAGCUCUGUUGUAAGUCAAGAACGGGUGUGAGAGUGGAAAGUUCACACUGUGACGGUAGCUUGCCAGAAAGGGACGGCUAACUACGUG
RNAcentral lists this ribosomal RNA (497 nucleotides) under uncultured bacterium. RNAcentral describes it as "partial 16S ribosomal RNA". It matches the Rfam family "Bacterial small subunit ribosomal RNA", at positions 28 to 507 of the family's 1533-position model. The record is from RNAcentral.